This is a long non-coding RNA of Gordionus sp. m RMFG-2023, 913 nucleotides long. RefSeq lists it as uncharacterized. The transcript has 4 exons. NCBI's taxonomy places the organism in Eukaryota, Metazoa, Nematomorpha, Gordioida, Chordodea, Parachordodidae. The record is from RefSeq and is a predicted model, not a curated record.
AUUUUAUAGUAUCUUUUAUUCUUAAAUUUUCAUAAGACUUUUUUUUAUGAAGGUGGAGUAGGUGAUUAUAUUUAAAAAAUGAAUCUAAGACUAACCCACCUUUUAAUUUUUUAAAAUAUAGUUUAACCUAAUCCUGCAUGGACUUAUAAAUCUUAUGUUAAUGCAUCUUAGGAUACAUGCAAAACAGAUCUUAUAAUAUCACUAUCAUUUAUUAUUUAAUUAGAUAAUGGGAGUGUGCUGUGUUCAUAAUUGUAAUAAAACAUAUAAAAUAGAAUCUAAUACACAUAUUUCUUAUCAUAAAUUUCCAUUAAAAUCCAAAGAAUUAUUGGAAAAAUGGUUACAGGCUAUAAAUAGAAAAAAUUUUAUGCCUAAUAAAUAUAGUAUAAUGGGGGGUUAGUGAUUCCUUCAUCUAGUAUGUCUAUAUUAUGCCGAAUUUGUGAAAGUUCAUUUAGAACUUAUCAAAAUGAUAUUAAACGUAAAAAUAUUAUUAAAAAAAUGGAAGUGUUGGUUUUUUCCACAAUAAUUGGUACAAAUAUUUUUAUUGAUCUUACUGAACAUAUUAAUGAACAUGAGAUUGGUUACAGCCAUUUUCAAAUUCUUGUAAAAUUAAUUGUUCAAAGAUAUUUAAAUAUUAGAUUUUUCCAUUUUGCUGACUUGAGAAACCAGGAAUUGAUAACUGGUAUGAGGCAAAAUCUUACAAAAGCAAUACAAUUUAAUAAUCAAUAAGUCAUGUGAUGAUAGAAUCAAAAAGGAUGAAUGUUUAUAAUCAAAGAUAAUAUGAAUGUGAAUCAUCAUAUUGUUAAAAAUACAUUUUGUUUUUUAAAGUGUACACAUUUAUAUUUUUAUAUAUUUAUUGUAUAAACCUUAUUUAAAUGAUUUAUAUAAUAAUUUAUACCCAUGCAAAAAAUGUUAU